UGAGUAACACGUAUCCAACCUGCCGUCUACUCUUGGACAGCCUUCUGAAAGGAAGAUUAAUACAAGAUGGCAUCAUGAGUCCACAUAUUCACAUGAUUAAAGGUAUUCCGGUAGACGAUGGGGAUGCGUUCCAUUAGAUAGUAGGCGGGGUAACGGCCCACCAAGCUUCGAUGGAUAGGGGUUCUGAGAGGAAGGUCCCCCACAUUGGAACUGAGACACGGUCCAA
RNAcentral lists this ribosomal RNA (226 nucleotides) under uncultured bacterium. RNAcentral's name for it is "partial 16S ribosomal RNA". It matches the Rfam family "Bacterial small subunit ribosomal RNA", at positions 107 to 334 of the family's 1533-position model. The record is from RNAcentral.